This 231-nucleotide unclassified non-coding RNA is filed under the name Hevea brasiliensis (rubber tree). The record is from RNAcentral. Lineage: Eukaryota; Viridiplantae; Streptophyta; Magnoliopsida; Malpighiales; Euphorbiaceae.
CGGGUCUUUCCCGGUGGUUGUAGGCUCCUCCGUCGAAAUGGCCAAAACUUUCCUUAAAUCCCAUGACCUCACCUUCGUUGACCGGCCAAAAACUGCCGCCGGAAAAUACACAACCUAUAAUUACAAAGACAUUACAUGGUCACCCUAUGGAUCCUAUUGGCGACAAGCACGUAAAAUAUGCGUUAUGGAGCUUUUCAGCGCAAAACGCCUAGAAUCAUACGAGUAUAUACG